ACUAAAAGAAAGGUUAAUAGAAAGAUAUCAAUUAAUUGGAGAAGUUUCAAAAAGAGAUUGUACAGGCAGUCACUUUUUAUGGAAAAGAGACGUAUAUGCAGCAAUCUCAUCCUUAAAGAUUAUGCAUACAUAACAAUAUGGUGGAGCAGCAACGUGUCGUGCUUGUUGUCGAGUUGUUGUAGUCUCUUGUUGCUUGGAUGCUCGGGGAAUAGCGGACUGGUUCUACCUUGGUUAAGGUUGUAGCGCUAGACGGGCUGUGAGGUUGGAUUGUCAAAAAAGCCAGCAAGAUAGUUAUGUGAUGAUUGGGAUGGAAUACAUAACGUGUACGACACCUAUUGUGCAAUCACUGAUCAGUUGGGUAUUCACACCAAGUCCUAUUAUGGCCGGAUACGUUUCACAUCGGUCCUAUUAUGGCCAGGUCCGCAGAUAGGAGGAACUUCCCAGUAGGAUUCACAAGGCUCAGCGGCAGUCAGCAAGUUCCACUUGAUUCGGUCUUGCUUGUCUUUGGGUAUAUCACUA
This is a long non-coding RNA of Lycium barbarum (goji berry), 519 nucleotides long. RefSeq lists it as uncharacterized. The record is from RefSeq and is a predicted model, not a curated record. Lineage: Eukaryota; Viridiplantae; Streptophyta; Magnoliopsida; Solanales; Solanaceae. The transcript has 4 exons.